Molecule: ribosomal RNA, 322 nt
Filed under: uncultured eukaryote
Lineage: Eukaryota
Description: partial 18S ribosomal RNA
Rfam family: Eukaryotic small subunit ribosomal RNA
Source: RNAcentral
CCCUUAGAUGUUCUGGGCCGCACGCGUGCUACACUGAGUGGAUCAGCGGGUCAGGUUGCGCGAAAGUGUUUCCUAAUCUUGAAAUCCGCUCGUGAUGGGGAUUGACGGUUGCAAUUUUCCGUCAUGAACGAGGAAUACCUUGUAAGCGCGGGUCAUCAUCCCGCGCUGAAUACGUCCCUGCCCCUUGUACACACCGCCCGUCGCUCCUACCGAUUGAGUGGUCCGGUGAGGCUUUGGGAUCUGAGCAAAAAGAGCGUUUCGCUCGUUUGGCUCGGAAAACUCAGUCGAACCUUAUCAUUUAGAGGAAGGAGAAGUCGUAACA